GAUGAACGCUGGCGGCGUGCCUAAUACAUGCAAGUCGAGCGAACAGACGAGGAGCUUGCUCCUCUGACGUUAGCGGCGGACGGGUGAGUAACACGUGGAUAACCUACCUAUAAGACUGGGAUAACUUCGGGAAACCGGAGCUAAUACCGGAUAAUAUAUUGAACCGCAUGGUUCAAUAGUGAAAGACGGUUUUGCUGUCACUUAUAGAUGGAUCCGCGCCGCAUUAGCUAGUUGGUAAGGUAACGGCUUACCAAGGCGACGAUGCGUAGCCGACCUGAGAGGGUGAUCGGCCACACUGGACCUGAGACACGGUCCAGACUCCUACGGGAGGCAGCAGUAGGGAAUCUUCCGCAAUGGGCGAAAGCCUGACGGAGCAACGCCGCGUGAGUGAUGAAGGUCUUCGGAUCGUAAAACUCUGUUAUUAGGGAAGAACAAAUGUGUAAGUAACUAUGCACGUCUUGACGGUACCUAAUCAGAAAGCCACGGCUAACUACGU
RNAcentral lists this ribosomal RNA (496 nucleotides) under uncultured bacterium. RNAcentral describes it as "partial 16S ribosomal RNA". It matches the Rfam family "Bacterial small subunit ribosomal RNA", at positions 28 to 506 of the family's 1533-position model. The record is from RNAcentral.